RNAcentral lists this ribosomal RNA (292 nucleotides) under uncultured microorganism. RNAcentral's name for it is "partial 16S ribosomal RNA". It matches the Rfam family "Bacterial small subunit ribosomal RNA", at positions 505 to 796 of the family's 1533-position model. The record is from RNAcentral.
GUGCCAGCAGCCGCGGUAAUACGUAGGUGGCAAGCGUUGUCCGGAUUUACUGGGCGUAAAGGGAGCGUAGGCGGAUACUUAAGUGGGAUGUGAAAUACCCGGGCUCAACCCGGGUGCUGCAUUCCAAACUGGGUAUCUAGAGUGUGGGAGAGGAAAGUGGAAUUCCUAGUGUAGCGGUGAAAUGCGUAGAUAUUAGGAAGAACACCAGUGGCGAAGGCGACUUUCUGGACCAUAACUGACGCUGAGGCUCGAAAGCGUGGGGAGCAAACAGGAUUAGAUACCCUGGUAGUCC